CUCUACUAUUUCUGAAAGUACGGGUUCCACAGUUCUCCUCUUAAAUAUUAGGCAUUGCAUCGAUGUUCCCCCUACUCAUUGGUAUAGACCCACAGUCUUAGUGGCAGCUGUGCAUUUCCUCUAUGUCUGGAGGACCAUAUGCCACCCUACAAUUGUGUGUAAAUGCCUGGUAAGCCUGAUACACAUGAAGGAAAAGAUGCCCCCUCUGUACAACUGACUGAACCCAAGAUUUCACAGGAAUUUUCCUAUGAAAGAAAGAUGAACCUCAGAAUAUAGGGCACAGUAUUCAGAGCAAUAUCUCAUCAUAAAGAAGUCCUACGAAUAAUGAAAAUCCCAGCUACCUAGUUCUUAUCAGCAGCUAAUCCUCCUCACAGUGUGCUGCUGGAAGGAAAUUUCACAUCAUUUGUCAUUUUAGCAUACUUCAUACCAGCUAUUUUUUUUCACAUUCAUAAAGCUCUUGUGACCUUUCUUGCUCCCACUGUCAGGCUUCUAAUUGUUUGUAUUGAAAUCAUCCUAAUUAGAUGGCAAGAUUUGUAGGGUGUGGACCAUGUCUAAUUGUUUGGUUUGUAAGAGUGUAAGUGUACAGUGCUUAUAUUAAACUGCAUCUUGUCCUGUAUUUUAUUGUGCUUGUUACAGAGAAACAGUUAGACAUUUUGUUUUCAGCUUCCUUUCUAAACUAAACAAAGCUUAUAUGAUCAAGGCUACAUAUAUCUCCAUGUAUGUUUUUACUCACAAAAUUUCAGAUCCCUCUGUCCAAGUUUUACUAUAUUUACAUUCACCCAAAAGGGGAGUAAGCUCAGAGAUAACAAACACCUACCAUUAUUCAUGAAAAUAGGUGUGUUGAAGAUAUUACUUUUCUGAGAAAAAAGCUGCAGAACAUGCUCAAUACUUUUGAGAUAUUAUGAAAAAACAGAUAAGCACACUAUUUACAGUUCAAAUCUCAGGGAAGAACAUCAAUCAGAGCUCACAUCUUUCAUUUGCCAGAACCAAAUGUGCGUCAAACAUCCAUAGAAAAACAGAUUCACCAGUUGUGAAUACAGCUCAUACAGCUACUUAAGAACUUACAAACAGAUCUAGUGAGUCAUGCCAAAGGUCUACCUUGUCAAGCAACCUGUUACUGGCUGUGGUUAACAGUGGGCUUGCAGUGAAAAUCAGAGCAGGGGAGAUACCUAGCAGUUUUUCCCCAGAGUACUGCUUCUAGCAAUGUAUGGAUCACAGAUAUCAUGAGCUUGGCAUUAUGUCUGUGUGCUUAAUAGCUCAGCCCCCUUACAAGGAUUUUUUCAAUUGCUUUUGGCACUUCUAUAAACAUCUGGCAUCUCUUACUUUCCAUGGCAAUGAAGUCCCACAUCUUACCUAGAUGCUUCAUAAAGAAAUGUCUCCUUUUCCUUGCCUUGUACUGCCACCUGUUAGUCUUACAUGAUACUCCCUGGAGUUUAUAUUUUUUUAAGAAAACAGCUCUUCCUUGGUUAUCCACAAUUUAUAACCUUUUAGUCUAACGACCUUGGUCAUAUUCUCUCUCAGUUGCUUCUUUCCCAGCUGUUUAGCGGAAAGAUUUAAAACCAAUUAAAAAGCCAUUGGAGCUUCACUGACUUAGUGGCCUUUGGAUCAUUUUCAAAAGAGGUAUAGAGUACACAGUACACUAAGCAUAUGAUUGACUACCCUCUGUGCCAAAACCCAAUCGCUAGUUCAUAAGAUAUUUUUAAUAUUCUACAUUAUAUUUGUGGUGAAAUAAUAUAGAAAUAUUUCUGUCUUUUUAACUUCUUGAAUUGGUAUCAGUAUGUUAGAGAUAAGGUCUCGAAAAGAAUGGUACAAACAUUGCAAUAAAAUUAUUUUUAACUGAUUAAAACAAACUUCUGUUAUUUACUACCUGAAGAACAGAAAAAAAAAAGAGCAAACACCUUUUACCUUUUCAUAGGGUUUAAGAUGCAAAGGAAAAGAAAGCAGUAUGAUAAACAGAACAAUGGGGAUGGAUAGCUUAGCACCAUUUCCAGGCUAAGUUCCAAGUAAUUUCUAUAAUCAAGUUCCAAUCCAAGUACAUCUUUGCCUCAUUUCUUUUGGAUCUGACAAACUUAAGAAUAGGAAAGUCAAGGGCUUAUUUUUUUUUUCAGUUUCACUUUGAUGAAAGUAUUCUUGCUUUUCAUGCAGUUUUCAGAUCAGAUCAAUUGUUUUAUUUUUCUAAAAUGCCAAAACCAGCAUAGCUAGGAGGAAACUUAUGCAGGAAAAAAUGAGCUGUUUCUUCUCUACUUUUUUGCACAACGUCACUUGCUUUUUUCAUGUAUUCUGUUAGUUCUAGUAGAUCCCACACUCUCUAAAGCUUUAUUCCAGAAAGGAAAAACUGCUGUAAUUACAGAGAAAAAUAUUAGGAUGCACAGCACAACUUUUUACCGCAACUCAAGGAGUAUGGCAUUCUUUUGUCACAUACCUCUUAAACAUAUGUGUUCUGCAGUUUGUCUUACAUCAAAAAACACUUUUUAAUGCAAUGCAAAAAGACAUUCAAAAGACAGUAUCAGAAGCUAUAAGUCACUUAGUUUGGAAAUAAAUCUACAGAAUUCCACCAGAGUAGCAGAAAUAAAAAAGCUCCUUUCGAAUGCCAAGGCCAAAUACACAAUACUCUAUAGGCAUGGUAUUUGCUAUGCCCUUUACUGGCAGAUUGAUUUUCAUGUUCUGACUAAACUAGCAGUUAGCAACAUUACACUGCUGGUUGGAUAACAAUGACAGCCCAAUUAGAAAGCACAGUCAAUGAACAGGUCAGGCAGCCAGGGUCCAGAUAUCCUAAGCAAGACUAGGCCUUUCAGUUUGUAAAACUUUCUGUUGACCCUUUCCUCAUCAUAAGUGACCCACCACAAAAACAUGUCAACAUUUUGUGAAGAAACAAAACAGAAAAUAAACUAUAACUUAUCCAAAUAAGCAAACAGCAUAAGAAAACUUUUUGAGGAAUUGUCAGCAUAGGAAAGAAAGCACAGGGGUAAUAGGGUGAUUUCUGAUUUCCCCAUAAAUAUGUUUUCUGUACUGGUUGUUGGGGAAAUGUUUUCGGAGAGCCUGUAUGAAUCAGACACAUAACAAUAAGAUAUAUUUUGAAAACUUAGAACCACCAAAACUAGAAAACGUAUUAUUUAGGCUGUAUUAUUUAGCCUACUUAUCUUUCCAUAUAAACACAAAUAAUUUUGAAUUUUUGCUUGAUCCCACUUUAAACUCAUAAAUAUGUAAUUAUAAUAUAAAAAUACUUCCGUAUGGAUUUGAGGUUAUGCAUCCUGAAUGCAGGCAACAGAGAUUUGUCGACAUAUGACAUAUACAAAGCAGAUGAAUGUAUGGAUCAGGAAGGAAACUACAUAAAUUACUGUGCUUUUAAACUUAAAGGGGGGCAGCUAGGUUGUUUUUGAUCAAACUUACAGUUCAACUCUGCAGACCCAGUAUUAGCCCAAGGGCUGUGAAAUCUAGUAUUGAUCACACAUGAAACACAUCUUUGGAGACAAAGUUCCCACCCCUUCCAAAUAAACAACAAGGUCCCCUUGAACUUUCAAAAUGGCCAAGAUCUUUCCUGAAGUCUACUGAUCUUUUUUUUACUUAAGACAGAUCUCUUUGUGAUAGUGUGGGUUUUAUUGUCAUAAAUAUAUCUUUUCAAUGUCACUGUUACUAUCUUCAUAAAAACACCUUGGCUAUGCCUUUUUGCAAAAUCCUCUUAUGUUCAGAAAUGCCUGUCCUUACAUCACUUCGUGCUCUCCUCACGUCUUAUCACUGUUUCUUCUAGCAUUAUCUAAUCUCACCUUUUAGUUUAACCUUGAACCUAGCUAGACUUGAUGUUCUAUGUGAGCAAGAACAGUUCUCAACUUUUAUUCUGUCAUACAUCCUCAGUUUCCAACUCCCAUGGUUGACUAGUUUUGCCUUUUCUAUGCUGCAGCCUUUAUAAGAGAUGGCCUUAUUUGCCUCUAAUCUCCAUGGUGACUUAAUGGUUUUACAUAAAUAGCAAAUGCAAACAAUAACAACAUGUAUUACUGCUCAUUAAGCUCCUUUCGAAAUUGUGUCAGUGAUUUUUGUUGUAUAAGAAGCAAUGUCAGGGUACCAUUACAAAAUCUAGGAACAGCAUUAAAUAAAAAAGUACAAAUGCAUUGAAGGUAUGUGCAUGAUGCUGUUUUCUGAACUGCAGUGUAGGCACAUCUGAAAUCUGCUUGCUCACACUACAGAAACUACUCAUUAGCAUCUGUAUAUAACACAUCAUCACCACAGGGAAAGCUAGUUUAAAAUCAUAAAUGUCAAGACAUAAUUAACUUAAAGGUCAGGUUUAAUUACAGUUGUUGAAACUGAAAUAUACUAAUUACCAUUACUAUGUCAGAAAAUUUCUUAAAACGAUUUGAAAUGUUUUGUUGGUGCACGUACUUUUCUAAAAUUGACAUCUUUUGUUCCAUGAUGGAGAUGUUUCAACGGGCAUUUUUUACUAACUUUGAAGCAGAAAGAGAACAAAACAGAAAACCAAGGAACAAAGCACCAUCACAAAGCUCAACAAAACCUGUUCUCUGCAUUACAAUAUUAUUAAUUACUUUCUUGUAAUUGACACUUUAGAGAAUCAUUUAGAUAAUGGAAUUAUUUCGAGAGUCUGGUGCAUGGAUGAAACAGAUUUAACUAUGUGGCUCUAAGGUUUAAUGACAAAACUAAUCAAUAAGUGAAACAGACUGGUAAGAAAAUAACUCAAUAACAGAAAAAUCUUCUCUACCUGUAGGAUUUUCCAAGGAUUCUACUGGGAAUAGCUAUUGACUCACAUAAGUAUUUUAGUUCUCUCUUUCCCCAAAGAUACAGAAAGUUUGAAUGCUGUGAUUACAUUCUCUUUUGUUAUCUAGUGUUUAUUCUCCCCUCCCCGCCACAGCCAGGAGUUCCAGCUUAUCUUUUCCUAUACUAUUAACAGAGCGAUAGACAUAUUUUUUUCCCCCCGAAGAAGCCAUUCCAAGCUAGGUAGAAUGCAGCAGAGAAAAGGUUAAGCUAUAUAAAGCUCAUUUCCCCCCAACAGCAUAGAUUUAGCUACUGUAUAGCCCCCAUGCAAAAAUUCAGAAGUCUAAAAGUGAAUAUAGCAGAUGACUCUGGAGGAAAAUAUCACUAGCUGAUGAAAAGAGGCCAUCAAACGUGCUGAUAAAAGAGACAUACUUGUUUAUUAAGUUUCAUUCAUCCUACACCUGAGGUCCUGGGUUGUAACAGCUGCCCCAUGCUGUGAAGGGUUCCAGUGCCCUCCAAAGUGCACUAAUCACCUAAGAUCAGCAAAAAAUAUUUCUACUAUUUCUGGAGGAAACCCUUCUACUCAGUAAGUGGGCAGCUCCCUGCCCCUUUCCCCCUCCUCUUUUGCAAGCCCCAGUACUUAGUGCUUCACAUAGAGCAACAGAAAAGAGCUCAAUAUCUGAACAUAAGGAAUAUAGACAUCAGCUGAAAGAGUGAAGGAUGGUCUCAGGUACACAACAAAAGUAUAGCAGAAAAGUGGCUGGCAAUUCAGAAACCACCAAAAGAAAAACCUUGGCUGUGAUACUGCCUUGCAUCUCAAUAAAUGGGUAAGGAUGGCAUUUAAUUAAAGAGUGCCUGCCUCCCAGGUACUGAUGACAUUGAAAUCAAUGUGGACAGACAGCAUUAAGGAUGGCAUAACCCAAAAAUUCUCUUAUUUAAGAUUUGCAGCUAACUGUUAGAGAAAAGUGAAAUUUAUUAAAGGCUUCCAUCUGGCAGAAUGUAUCAUUAGUAUUCAAACUGAUAGCAGCAGUGAUUUAAAUUUAAUAAUCUGAGUGGAGAUAUGCAUCAAAAAAAGAAUUCUUCUAAAAUAUAUCUAAUAGCAAUAACUGACUUCUUUAUUACAGUCUACCUGUGAAAAAUGCCAGAUAUCAAAGAAUAAGACAUCAAAUGUUAAUUUCAGUGUGUUCUUCCAGUUGAAACUCACAUUAAAAUAAUGUAGUUGGUGCAAAUCAAGUAGCACAGACUGUACUUGCUUGUCCCUUCCUUGAGGGAGAUUUGAAACAUCGAGGCCCAGAAAAAGCAGGAUUUUGCCCUUAUGGAAGGGAGGUUGUACGAGUGAGGUGCCCCGGCACCGGCAGUGGGGGCUGCAGAGGUGGCCGCUGUGAGAAGCAGCUGGGGCUGCCCCAGGCCAGCUACAGCUGAUUCCUGCUGUUCCAGCCACUGGCUCCAAUGCAGGACACAGCUGAGCCCUGCAGCCACAGGUGUGGCACCUCUGGGAAAAUGUAUUUAAGAAGGGGCAAAACUCACUCCAGGAAAGAGGAGCAAGUUAAAAACAAGUAAGUGUGAGAAACAGCUCUGUGCACACCAAGGUCAGAGAAAGAGGAGGGAGAGGAGCUGCUCCCAGUGCUAGAAUCAGAGAUUCUCCUGCAGCCCAUGGAAGAGACCAUAGCAGAACAAGUGUCUCCCAGGAGCCAGUGGAAAAGAGCAUGCCAGAGCAGAUGUCCAGAUGUCCAUACUGCAGCCCAGGAGACCCCACAAAAGAGUAGCUGGAUAUUCCCUAAAGGAAUGGCAGCCUCUGGACAGCUCAUGCUGGAGCAGGUUCUCCUGAUGGGAGCCGCAGCCCAUGGGAAGGCCCCACACUGGAGCAAGGGAAAAGUGUGAGGAGGAAGGAACAGAAGAGAAGUGCUAUGGACUGACUCCUGCCCCCAUUCCCCAUCUCCCUGCACAGCUUUGUGGGUGGGGGAGAUGGACAUGUUAAGAGGGAAGGAGUAAAGCUGAGCCUGGGAAAAAGGGGUGGAGGCUUGUGGGGAAGGAAGUUUAGUUUCUGUCUUUUUUUCUCACUAUCCAACUCUAUUUUAACUAGCAAUAAAUUAUAGUAAUUUUUCCUCAGUCAAGACUCUCUUGCCUCUGAUGGCAUUUGGUGAUUUCCCUGUCCUUAUCUCAACAUAUAAGCUUUUUCAUCCUAUCAUCUCCCCAUAUCCUGUUUACAAGGAGAAGAGAGUGGUUGGGUGGGUACUUGGCAGCUGGCCAAGGUCAACCUAAUCAUGUAUUUUUAUGGGGAACAUGUCCUUUGAAGCUGUACUUGCAUACGUGAGAAUUAUGCUGAGUAAAGUACAUGUAACACAGAAAGAUAAUUACAUUUUUUAUUUUAUUACAAGUUGUAUUCUGUCCUUGCUUUAAUUAAUUGUAUGAAGUUACUGCUCUGCUUUCAGUUUAUACAUCUGAGGUUUCAUUUUUUAGGUAAUAUCCACCUCUCAGUCUCAUAUUAAAGAAACUUUUUAUACAUCAUUCUUUCAGCUCUAUCUUAAUAUGGGAUUCAGAAAUAGCUUGCAUGAACUUAAGGUGACAAAACAAUGAACCAGCAGAGCAGUUUUUCUGUUAAUAUUUACAACGGAUGCCAAAAAAACACUCCAAAAGCUGCAGAUAGAGUCAUUGCUCUACUGCUCUACCUAGCAGGUGAACAAGGGAACAGACCAUUUUUUGGGGGGGAAAAGGAAACAUGAAAAUUAAGGCAAAGUGCAAGCAUCACAAAUUGAAGAGGUUGGAGAAAAAAUGUUGUAUUCAUUAUAAGAACAAGUAUAAAGUAACUACCCAGUGCAUAAUUUACAUCAUGGGUGAUGCGCAAACAAAAAUAUCCACAAAAUCUUACCCUUUUAAUGAUUUUUUUUUCUUAAUUGCAGAUUAAUGGGCAGUUCCACUUUACAGGCUGGUAAUUUGUCACUGUGAUCUGCUUUUAAAAGUUGAGCAAGAAAACACUAGAAUGCUCCAAACAUGCUGUUGUCUUCUUUUCAAGGCAGAAUUGUAGAAAAGCCUGGACCAGAAGAUAUCACACAGACACAGCGACCUUCAAGCCCAGAACUUUGGAGGAGCUCCAAGGACUGUACGUGCUGCAACAAAGAUGAAGAUGAGGAAGAAGGGGUCCCAAAGACCCCAAACCCAAUUCUCAGAGGGGUGUGUCAGGGGGCAGAACUGGGCAGAGCCAGUGGGUGGACAUUGGAUGGACCUUGUUAUAAAAUCAUAGAACCGCUCUCUGGGAGGCGCGCGCGACAUGUGUCCUGAGGCUUCAUUAAAGGACCUACUCUCUUUAUCUUAUCUUAUACACUAAAUUGGCCUGGAGUCAUUUUCUCCACACUCUUUUUAGGCAACAAGAUAAUAAUACCAAAUUCUUAAAGUCACUGAAAAUGUUCCUCACUGAAAAUGUUCUUCACAGUGGCAGAUCUCAGCUUUGCACAAUUUAGAGCUUCUCUGCCAGACCCCAAACCAUAGUAUGAGAAGAUUUUACUUUACAGCCAAGGAAGAUGCGUCCUAAUUGACUCUGAGUCAAUUAUGGUGUGAAAAUAUUGGGCUAUAUUUUAUUUUGAAGUUAAUUUGUAAAAAAAAAAAAAAAAAAAGAAAAAAAUUGGAAAGAUUUUCUUAUUCCUUGUAAAAAUAAUUAUGAAAAAAAUAAUUAUGUAAAAUUCUAGGAAUAAAACUAUAUUGUUCCAACUAAACUCCACUUUGUAGAACUAUAACUAAUUCCUAUUCAGCCAACCAUCAUGUUCCAUGCACAACUAUGUAUGUCUCUCUUUAGAAAAAUUCAUUAAAAGAAAAAAAGCAUGGUGGCAGAAGUGUAGCGUUCGUAAAAAGUAAGCCUAAGGAGUUCAGCUCUGCUAACUGCCAUGGCUUCUUCACAAAUCUUUGCCAGCCUUUCAUAAAAUUUUAUUGCACAAUUUUUACCUUUUCUUAAAUCCCCAAAGAUGAUGGAAUCAAUAAUAAUCUCAUCUUUUCUUGAAAAAAAAUAUUGUUCAAGACUAAGUAGAAAAGCUAUAGGGGAGAAUCACCCUUUAGCACACCAGAAAUUACAAGAUAAAUAGAAUCAAGCAUGUAUUAUGUUAAAAUAAAGUCUCAAGAUAUUCAUGCCACAUGUGUGAUUAUUAGAUGUGUGACAUCAGUGAUAUUGAAGCAGGGAAUUUUUCUUUUGUAACAUCAGAAAUGCAGAAAUGCUCACUUCGUUUAAAACCAUAAAAAGAAGAACUCAUAAAGCUGGGACAGGUGAAGAUACCCACAGGUUUUUAGUACCGCUAAAAUAAAAAUAAUGGGAUGCCCAAUAGGAGUGCAUGCUUCUGCUGUAUACUCAUACAAAUUGGAUAAAUCCUCUUCUGGACAAAUUAGGACGGGACAUAACCUGCUUACCCUUGACUCUCAGUGAGACUUCAUGCAGUAACAUAAACAUAAGCAAGAUAUGUGCCAUCUGAAGUUCAAUGAAUAUGAUAAAAAUCUGUAUUAUUAUUAAAUCCCUAGUCUAAGGAAUCUUACACUUCUGCAAUGGAAAAUUUUGAAACAUAUAAAAUUUGUAAACAAAGUAACCUAAAAAACAACCUUCUUUGGAUUAUUGGUUGCAGCUCAAAUUUCAAGAUAAUAUAUAUGGGAACACAGAGCCAGAUUCAUCAGUUUUAUUGACUCAUUAAUGUAGCUCUGAAUAAAUGAGAUUUUGUGUGUAGAUUUAGCUCGAAUGAUAAUUGCUAGGAUCAACAGUGUGAUACGUAUUUAAACCUGGGACUAUUGCCACUGAAUAAAUGAAGGAAUCAUUACUGGUUAAUCUUUGUAGGACAGUGUGUUCCUGCUUGGACCACGAAGUAUCAGCAAUAAUUUCUGCAAUGACUGGAAAAAACUCCAUCAUUUACAAUCAUAGGAAGAUUUUACCAUUUUGCUGAACCAGAAAUAGAGUAAAACUUUUGAAAUAUUUUCUGAGCAUGCUAUAGCUAAAAACAACAGCAGAUAAUGUAGGACAGAACUGCCCAAGUGCUUUAAAAUGUAGACAACAUUUUAGUGCUGUGAUGUAGACAACAUCACAGUCAGUAUUUUUAGAAGAAUGUGUGUUUUAUAGAUUAUUUCUAUUCCUUUUACUGUUAGUCCCUAGAAUAAGAAAAACUAUCAGAAGGUUCUUAUACAGGAAUUGGUUUCUUUGGUCUGGAAUCAGUAGUCACAAUCUAAAAGAAUUUUUUUAAUCCUCUGCUCUGGAAUAUUUUUUAUAACAGGUGUUAACUAGAUUUGUGGUCUAUAAUGUUGUUUAUUCUUAAUUUGUGGGCUAUAAUGUCAUGUCUGCACUCAGUUGUAGACAGCUGCAAUUUGGAGUAUCCAACUUCAAGAUAACAAAAUAAUCUGAUUAAAUAAGGAUUUUCUGAAAAACAGUUUUUACUACAGCUUGAAAACUAAAAGAAAAUUGGAAUAAAAUGGCAGAAAACUUGUACACCAUGCUUGAAUGGUAGAAGUUAUUGGGUCCAGACUAGAUUUUCUCAUGUGAGGGAGAGAUAUCUCCCCUGAUUCAGGCCAGAGAUGUUAGCAGUGUUUCCUGUCCCUCUGUGUCUGAGGUGAUUCACUUUCUGUUGCUGGCAUGAUUCCACUCUGUACAAAGAAUUUAUUGCUAAUGAACUCUGCCUGCCCAGACCCCAGGUGAAUUUCUGUCCACUAAGAUACAAAAAAAGUCUUUCCCCUUUUCUCCAUAGCAAAUGAAAUUAUAAUGUAAAAUAGAAAGAUUUUGGUUUAGACUCAGUUCACAGUGACAGAUCAUUUAUUACCUAGACCCAAGAAAAUUACUAUAAACCAAUUAUAAAAUCAGUCACUACUUGCAUUCCACUGAGAUGAACAAAGAGCCAUUCUCAGAUGACAAGUCAACAAAAGUUAUUUUCAGAAUUGCAAACCUCAUUACAAAAUUUUUGGGUUUACAGCUUUUAAAUGACAAAAACAAUUUAAUGGAUUUAGUUGGUAGAAAGACGUCAUAAGAAGUUGACUGCGCACUUCCAUAGGACCUAGGAUGGUUGAUCACAAGUGUAAGGAACUUCACUACAGUAAUUUCACCUUUCUUAAUAGCUACGUUACGGUACAAUAAUUUUUAGGCAAACAUAGAAUAUUCAAGCAACUCAAACAUCUGAUUGCUUUUACAUUUCAAACACUCAGAAAUAUUUGAACUUGAACUCUAAAAUAAAUAGAAAUAUAGAGAGAAGACAAAGAAAAAAAUGAUGGGUUUAGCUAAGUUAUUC
Molecule: long non-coding RNA, 10940 nt
Organism: Pseudopipra pipra
Lineage: Eukaryota; Metazoa; Chordata; Aves; Passeriformes; Pipridae
Exons: 2
Source: RefSeq, a predicted model, not a curated record